Molecule: long non-coding RNA, 1036 nt
Organism: Tachysurus fulvidraco (yellow catfish)
Lineage: Eukaryota; Metazoa; Chordata; Actinopteri; Siluriformes; Bagridae
Exons: 3
Source: RefSeq, a predicted model, not a curated record
CUGAGAUCCAGAUUAAACUCAGGUUCCUUUUUUAGUUCUUGGGCUUUUGAAAAUAUUUCUGUGGAGAAAAUGAUCCUACAGUGAAAUGAAUGCGGAAGUGAAAUCAUCUGAUUAGUAAUCCUCCCACAUCUUGAAAUGUGACGGAUAAAACGCAGCGACAAAGACAACGACAACAAUAACAACACACCCAGGAAGUCACUGAUUCCUAAGGUAGGAUAUCGUAUCACUGCGGUUACAUGUUGUUCUUCAUGUGGCGCUGUCCUCCAAGACAAUCUCCAAAAUAUGAUGCAUUGCCUAAAGGACAGUGACAGGUGACCAUUGCACGAUCACGUCAAGUCUGAAACCCUACACAAAGACUGACCUGACACACUGGGACAAAAGCCUGUAUCACUCUCUGGUUCUGCCUGGUCCUCUCUCACAAAUUAAACCCAGAUCUCCUAUAGUUCAGCAGACUGACAGCUCUUUCUAUGUGCCAGCACCCUUCUUCCUCCAAAGGUUCCUCGGGCCAGGAACAUGGGAUUAGUUAAACUGGCGAGUAAGCCGAACAGUCAAACAAGUUCGGCACUUGGCAACUUCUCUGCAGCCUUUUUGACACCACAAGGCUCGGACUUGGCAGCAGCGAGCAAACUUAGCAAUUAAGUCAACUCUGUAACGGUUGACUAUGACGCAAGACCUGGGCCUGAAUGAAUCACGGGGAAUGAUUCAGAGAUCUCACACAGAGGCGGAAAACGAGCCAACAGAGAAACAAAGACUUUCCUCUCGAGUGUUGAUGUACGUCUCGAGGUUUUCAUUCACAGAACACACUUGAGUGAUGAAGGGUGUGAUCGGUGCAGGUAUAUAAUACUGAAGGUGGCUGGUUCAGGUUUGGUGAGUUCUCAAAGAUGUUUGAGUAAAAGAUUAAUGAUCCAAAGUAAACGACUCGGACGGGUUUGAAAUCACAACCAGCUAUAAGCUGACAGUUUCAGUCUGUAAGAGGAAACGUUUCACUGCAAAGUCAUUAUCCGUGAUAGCGGUAAGCUAAAAAAUAUCAUUCAGU